AUGAAUGAAGCGAAGAAGGGGAGUACCUUUUGCUUUUUCGCGAGGAAACUGAUGCAUAGUAAUGCAAAUUGUAAGCAAUCUGUUAGGACCACCCUUGUAUAUAAAAGGGUUAUCCCUCACAAAUUCCUUGAUGGCAUGCAAGCAAUAAGGCUGAAAACAAUGACAUGCAAGGGAUUGGUUUUAAGAGUAGCAUAUACGGGAGUUCCUUAUAUGAUAAUAUACUUGCAUGCACUUCAGUAUCAUCCGUUUAAUGAGCUUAAGCUGUGGCUUUCAAGACAGGAAGCUCGAGUGCUGUCAGCUUACCUUGCUUAA
Molecule: ribosomal RNA, 312 nt
Filed under: Triticum aestivum (bread wheat)
Lineage: Eukaryota; Viridiplantae; Streptophyta; Magnoliopsida; Poales; Poaceae
Description: partial small subunit ribosomal RNA
Source: RNAcentral